UAUAAGCAUACUGUAGCAGCUAAGU
RNAcentral lists this non-coding RNA (25 nucleotides) under Cricetulus griseus (Chinese hamster). The record is from RNAcentral. Lineage: Eukaryota; Metazoa; Chordata; Mammalia; Rodentia; Cricetidae.